This 232-nucleotide long non-coding RNA is filed under the name Theobroma cacao (cacao). Its description in RNAcentral is "long non-coding RNA (TCAC_LNC004508)". Lineage: Eukaryota; Viridiplantae; Streptophyta; Magnoliopsida; Malvales; Malvaceae. The record is from RNAcentral.
ACCAGUCAUCAGCUCAUGUGGACUCUCACACCGCACACGAUUGGAAUCACCACCCACCAGUCAACAACUCAUGUGCAUUCCCACACCGCACAUAGCUGGAAUCAUCACCGUCAUUACCAGCAUGUGCCCUCCCACACCGCACAUGCACGAUUAUAUAUAUCACACAAUAUUACUUAUCAAUACAUAUCAUAUAAUCAUAUAUUUAAGUAUAUAUAUCAACAUGAUAUAUAAG